RNAcentral lists this ribosomal RNA (247 nucleotides) under uncultured bacterium. Its description in RNAcentral is "partial 16S ribosomal RNA". It matches the Rfam family "Bacterial small subunit ribosomal RNA", at positions 86 to 334 of the family's 1533-position model. The record is from RNAcentral.
AGAUGGCGACCGGCGCACGGGUGAGUAACACGUAUCCAACCUGCCGAUAACUCGGGGAUAGCCUUUCGAAAGAAAGAUUAAUACCCGAUGGUAUAAUCAGACCGCAUGGUUUGAUUAUUAAAGAAUUUCGGUUAUCGAUGGGGAUGCGUUCCAUUAGGCAGUUGGUGAGGUAACGGCUCACCAAACCUUCGAUGGAUAGGGGUUCUGAGGGGAAGGUCCCCCACAUUGGAACUGAGACACGGUCCAA